UCGCGCGAGCCAAUGGUACUCAGCUGAACACCAAAGGCGCAAAAAACAUAACUUGAACUCGUGUGCGGGAUUACGGGCGAGACUCUCUGCUCGUCCCUCCAUCCCCGGGUGUUAUACCAGGCAUGCCGGGGGGGCGCUCGCGCCUCCUCGGUGCCGUAACAUACCGCGAGUGUGCAGGAUGUGACCCGAAAGAUGGUGAACUAUGCCUGAUCAGGUUGAAGUCAGGGGAAACCCUGAUGGAGGACCGAAGCAGUUCUGACGUGCAAAUCGAUUGUCAGAAUUGGGCAUAGGGGCGAAAGACCAAUCGAACCAUCUAGUAGCUGGUUCCUUCCGAA
Molecule: ribosomal RNA, 335 nt
Filed under: Lutzia halifaxii
Lineage: Eukaryota; Metazoa; Arthropoda; Insecta; Diptera; Culicidae
Description: eukaryotic LSU rRNA
Rfam family: Eukaryotic large subunit ribosomal RNA
Source: RNAcentral